AAAGCGGUGCGCAACAUCUGACACGCGUAUUCGGCGAGAAGCUAUGUAAAUACGGUCUCUGCACUAGUUGUGUUGACAGUCUUAUUUAUAAAAGGAAAUACAAUAUGAAACGAGCGGGGAAGGAUUGGAGUCGCAUAAGCACCUGUUGCACACUGCACAACCUUUCACAAAUCAGGGGUAAUUCAAACCCCCAGGGACCUGCUGUCAGUAGCUUGUGAGCCAUUCCUUCUGAUCCAACCCUUUAUGGACCAGUUCAGCCACUCACGGAAUCCAGGCUUUUGGCUAAUUUCU
This is a long non-coding RNA of Silurus meridionalis, 291 nucleotides long. RefSeq lists it as uncharacterized. Lineage: Eukaryota; Metazoa; Chordata; Actinopteri; Siluriformes; Siluridae. The record is from RefSeq and is a predicted model, not a curated record. The transcript is spliced from 3 exons.